This 1280-nucleotide long non-coding RNA is filed under the name Olea europaea subsp. europaea. The record is from RNAcentral. Lineage: Eukaryota; Viridiplantae; Streptophyta; Magnoliopsida; Lamiales; Oleaceae.
CUUUAGUUCACAGCCUUUGGCAUAAAUUCCCUUCCUCACUAACUUAAGCAUCGAAAGGACAACGAUGACUCACCUUGACGCCUUCAUUUAAGGUACUGAAAAAUCUUAUUCAUGUUCAUUCUUGAUCAUCAAGCUCGAAAAUCAACAAGUACGAAUUUUCGGCAGUAUCACUGGUGCCAUCUGUAGGGAGUGCCACAGAAAGCCAAUGGAAGAAAACAUAGGCACGAAGAGGAUGAAAGACGUGGCCACUGGUUUUUCAAAUGCACAAAGCCACAGUCAGCUUUAGGGCGGCAAAAAAAAAAAAAAAAAAAAUCGCGAAACCGCAAACCAAACCAAAAUCGUUGAGUUAAAAUCGUUGGUUUGGGUCCACGUGGACCAGUGAUUUUUUUCCCCUCUAAAUCGAACCAAACCAUUUCAAAAUUUUUUGAUUUAGAUUUAGAUUUUCUCUCUCAAUUAGGCAGCCACGUUUUCUUCUAUUUUCUCACAAACCAUAAAUAGCUUCUACAAACAAAGGGUGGCUAUAUAUAGUUUAGGGUAUAUAAUCAAUUGGGCCAAAACAUAUGGGAAGUGGACCAAGAUCAUAGGGCCAUUCAAUAAGUAAAUAUAUGGGCCGUGAGCAAUAUUAAUGUGGAAAUUACACCCUUACAGGUAUUUAAAGAUCAUAAUUUAAAAAUCAGGUUGAAGGUCUGUUUGUGCAAAAAUCAGGUGGUAAAUUUAUAUUUUAAUAUUAAUAAUAAAAUGUCGUGGAAUAUAAAUAACAUCCCACCCCCUCAAACACACCCACAACAAGAUUUUUUUAGGCUUCCCUCGAAUGUCAAAACUAUCCUCUCUCUCUCUCUCUCCCCUUCCCUCCCCCAAUUUCCACCACACACUAGUUGUUUUACUGAUUUGCCGAUGGUUUAAUUAUAGAAACGUUUGGCUUCUCACUUUUCUCUAGCUUUUCGUCGGAGUUAGGUUCUGACCAUGUUGUAUGGGCUGUUGUAGUGCGAUGCUGCCGGAGUUAGGUCGUGAUCUGGUGCUGAAUGGCGGGGAAAUUGGGGAACGAUCUAUUGAAAGUAUGAAUGGUGAUGUUCUGGUGUAGAAUGACGAGGAAUUUGGGGAAGAUCUGCUACAUCUAUUUAGUGCUAAAUCUGCUGCUUUUACAGUUUCUUUGUCAUCUACUUUUUGGGUGGUUUGGGACAAAUAGUUGUUUAGAUUUGAAAUCGGAUCUAUGUUUUGGUUUUGAAUGUGGUGGAUCUGUGGUGGCUGUUGACGAUCAGUUUCGGUGUUUGGUGUCUGUG